Molecule: ribosomal RNA, 433 nt
Filed under: uncultured bacterium
Lineage: Bacteria
Description: partial 16S ribosomal RNA
Rfam family: Bacterial small subunit ribosomal RNA
Source: RNAcentral
AACGAACGCUGGCGGCAUGCCUAACACAUGCAAGUCGAACGAGACCUUCGGGUCUAGUGGCGCACGGGUGCGUAACGCGUGGGAACCUGCCCUUAGGUUCGGAAUAACUCCCCGAAAGGGGUGCUAAUACCGGAUAAUGUCUUCGGACCAAAGAUUUAUCGCCUUUGGAUGGGCCCGCGUUGGAUUAGCUAGUUGGUAGGGUAAAAGCCUACCAAGGCGACGAUCCAUAGCUGGUCUGAGAGGAUGAUCAGCCACACUGGGACUGAGACACGGCCCAGACUCCUACGGGAAGCAGCAGUGGGGAAUAUUGGACAAUGGGCGAAAGCCUGAUCCAGCAAUGCCGCGUGAGUGAUGAAGGCCUUAGGGUUGUAAGGCUCUUUUACCCGGGAUGAUAAUGACAGUACCGGGAGAAUAAGCUCCGGCUAACUCCGUG